RNAcentral lists this ribosomal RNA (62 nucleotides) under Scuticaria salesiana. RNAcentral's name for it is "partial 26S ribosomal RNA". Lineage: Eukaryota; Viridiplantae; Streptophyta; Magnoliopsida; Asparagales; Orchidaceae. RNAcentral also lists the same sequence under 1 other name. The record is from RNAcentral.
GCGACCCCAGGAGGGGCGAGGCCACCCGCCGAGUUUAAGCAUAUCAAUAAGCGGAGGAGAAG